RNAcentral lists this long non-coding RNA (933 nucleotides) under Dendronephthya gigantea. RNAcentral describes it as "uncharacterized LOC114520925". The record is from RNAcentral. Lineage: Eukaryota; Metazoa; Cnidaria; Anthozoa; Malacalcyonacea; Nephtheidae.
CGUUUAUGUUUCAAAGACCAAGAUUGUAAUACACUGGCGUCGUCUGGAGUUUAACUUUAGGUUUUGAUAUACUGGCAGAACGUUUCAACGAGAACAUACUAUAUAAAAAAGGGUUUUAAUAUACUGGCAGAACUAUACUGUGCUAUUUCAGGAUGGCACGACCACCCUGUUGCUGUUUGACGACAAACUACAGCAAUUAUUCAACAUCUACAAAGAACAAAACACUUGCGAUACCGAGUUUGAGGGAACUGACUACGAUUUCCUCAUGGAAAUUCUUUUAACUGUUGAGGCGAAAGUACUCUUUAACAACAAAAGAAAUGUUGUCUCCAUAGAGAAACUUUCUACUUCAUAACAUAUAUAUACAGCAUGUUUAUAUAAACUAUAUUCUUUAGACGGUCAACAUUAGAUUGUGCAUGACUUUGUUGCCGAAAACACUUCAGCCAUUCUUGCCACUUUUUAGAAGUUUUCCAUGUACUGUUCUGUUAUCUUUGUUCUGUUAUCUUUGUUCUGACAUUUUAAAAUUCCACAGAAACGCUCUUUAGUUUAAAUAUUUUUUCUAUGAAUAGAAUGUUUCUCCAAUGCCUUACUAUUUAACAAUUUAUAUAAAUUAUUUUAGGCAGAAACACUAAAUAUAACUGUAUUGUUGUUUUUCAAGAUUAUGCGGCAAACUAUAAACGUACCUUUACCCCUUAGUUCGGUAUUAGGCAGAUUUAAAAAGACCUUACGGUCGUCAAAUGUCAACUUAAAAAUGACGUUCUAUCUCCAUGCAAGGAUACGUCUUUGGCGUCUAUAUAAAUCUGCUUAACAUAAUGAUAAGUACAAUUUUUUGUCUUAUUUCUGUGACAACUCUGUGUUAUGCUAUUGAAGGCAGCAUUACUACCCUUUGGGUAACCUAGUCUAUACAAUUGUAAAAAUAUGAUCGGAAUGUGCAAC